This 91-nucleotide small RNA is filed under the name Salix viminalis (osier). Lineage: Eukaryota; Viridiplantae; Streptophyta; Magnoliopsida; Malpighiales; Salicaceae. The record is from RNAcentral.
AUUCGAUGAUGAGGGCAUUGGAUGCAUAAUAACUCAAAUCUUUCCCAAUACUCAACAAGUGUCUAAUCCCACAUAUUUCUUUUCUUAUAUU